This 502-nucleotide ribosomal RNA is filed under the name Extubocellulus spinifer. RNAcentral's name for it is "partial Eukaryotic large subunit ribosomal RNA". It matches the Rfam family "Eukaryotic large subunit ribosomal RNA", at positions 807 to 1310 of the family's 3401-position model. Lineage: Eukaryota; Bacillariophyta; Thalassiosirophyceae; Cymatosirales; Cymatosiraceae. The record is from RNAcentral.
UGUCGGGACCCGAAAGAUGGUGAACUAUGCCUGAAUAGGGCGAAGCCAGGGGAAACUCUGGUGGAGGCUCAUAGCGGUUGUGACGUGCAAAUCCAUCGUAAAAUUUGGGUAUAGGGGCGAAAGACUAAUCGAACCAUCUAGUAGCUGGUUCCCUCCGAAGUUUCCCUCAGGAUAGCUGGAGCUCUUUUUUUCAGUUUUGUCAGGUAAAGCGAAUGAUUAGAGGUCUUGGGGCUGAAACAGCCUUAACCUAUUCUCAAACUUUAAAUGGGCAAGGUGGUGGGUGCUUAAUUGACCCGCCGCGUUGAAUGUGAGCUCCAAGUGGGCCAUUUUUGGUAAGCAGAACUGGCGAUGCGGGAUCAACCGAACGUCGAGAUAAGGUGCCCAAGUGUCCGCUCAUCAGACUCCCCAAAAGCUGUUGGUUCAUUUAGACAGCAGGACGGUGGCCAUGGAAGUCGGAAUCCGCUAAGGAGUGUGUAACAACUCACCUGCCGAAUGAACUAGC